This 278-nucleotide ribosomal RNA is filed under the name uncultured eukaryote. RNAcentral's name for it is "partial 18S ribosomal RNA". It matches the Rfam family "Eukaryotic small subunit ribosomal RNA", at positions 21 to 302 of the family's 1831-position model. The record is from RNAcentral.
UAGUCAUAUGCUUGUCUCAAAGAUUAAGCCAUGCAUGUCUAAGUAUAAACAAUUCUAUACUGUGAAACUGCGAAUGGCUCAUUAAAUCAGUUAUAGUUUAUUUGAUAAUUUCUUUCUACAUGGAUAACCGUGGUAAUUCUAGAGCUAAUACAUGCACAAAAACCCGACUUAGGAAGGGUUGUAUUUAUUAGAUAAAAACCAAUGUGGGCAACCACUCUCUGGUGAUUCAUAAUAACUUGUCGAAUCGCACGGCCUUGCGCCGGCGAUGUAUCAUUCAA